UACGAAGGGGGCUAGCGUUGUUCGGAAUCACUGGGCGUAAAGGGCGCGUAGGCGGCCUGGCAAGUCGGGGGUGAAAGCCUGUGGCUCAACCACAGAAUGGCCUUCGAUACUGCCGGGCUUGAGACCGGAAGAGGUCAGUGGAACUGCGAGUGUAGAGGUGAAAUUCGUAGAUAUUCGCAAGAACACCAGUGGCGAAGGCGGCUGACUGGUCCGGUUCUGACGCUGAGGCGCGAAAGCGUGGGGAGCAAACAGG
RNAcentral lists this ribosomal RNA (253 nucleotides) under uncultured bacterium. RNAcentral describes it as "partial 16S ribosomal RNA". It matches the Rfam family "Bacterial small subunit ribosomal RNA", at positions 524 to 776 of the family's 1533-position model. The record is from RNAcentral.